This 506-nucleotide ribosomal RNA is filed under the name uncultured bacterium. RNAcentral describes it as "partial 16S ribosomal RNA". It matches the Rfam family "Bacterial small subunit ribosomal RNA", at positions 30 to 523 of the family's 1533-position model. The record is from RNAcentral.
AUUGAACGCUGGCGGCAGGCCUAACACAUGCAAGUCGAACGGUAACAGAAAGCAGCUUGCUGUUUCGCUGACGAGUGGCGGACGGGUGAGUAAUGUCUGGGAAACUGCCUGAUGGAGGGGGAUAACUACUGGAAACGGUAGCUAAUACCGCAUAACGUCGCAAGACCAAAGAGGGGGACCCUCGGGCCUCUUGCCAUCGGAUGUGCCCAGAUGGGAUUAGCUAGUAGGUGGGGUAACGGCUCACCUAGGCGACGAUCCCUAGCUGGUCUGAGAGGAUGACCAGCCACACUGGAACUGAGACACGGGCCAGACUCCUACGGGAGGCAGCAGUGGGGAAUAUUGCACAAUGGGCGCAAGCCUGAUGCAGCCAUGUCGCGUGUAUGAAGAAGGCCUUCGGGUUGUAAAGUACUUUCAGCGGGGAGGAAGGGUGUAAAGUUAAUACCUUUGCUCAUUGACGUUACCCGCAGAAGAAGCACCGGCUAACUCCGUGCCAGCAGCCGCGGUAA